GAUGAACGCUGGCGGCGUGCCUAAUACAUGCAAGUCGAGCGAACAGACGAGGAGCUUGCUCCUUUGACGUUAGCGGCGGACGGGUGAGUAACACGUGGAUAACCUACCUAUAAGACUGGGAUAACUUCGGGAAACCGGAGCUAAUACCGGAUAACAUGUUGAACCGCAUGGUUCAACAGUGAAAGACGGUCUUGCUGUCACUUAUAGAUGGAUCCGCGCCGCAUUAGCUAGUUGGUAAGGUAACGGCUUACCAAGGCAACGAUGCGUAACCGACCCGAGAGGGUCAACGGCCACACUGGAACUGAGACACGGCCCAGACUCCUACGGGAGGCAGCAGUAGGGACUCUUCCGCAAUGGGCGAAAGCCUGACGGAGCAACGCCGCGUGAGUGAUGAAGGUCUUCGGAUCGUAAAGCUCUGUUAUUAGUGAAGAACAAAUGUGUAAGUAACUAUGCACGUCUUGACGGUACCUAAUCAGAAAGCCACGGCUAACUACGUG
This 497-nucleotide ribosomal RNA is filed under the name uncultured bacterium. RNAcentral's name for it is "partial 16S ribosomal RNA". It matches the Rfam family "Bacterial small subunit ribosomal RNA", at positions 28 to 507 of the family's 1533-position model. The record is from RNAcentral.